CAUUAGGUGACUGAAAGUAAGUAAUGGUCUCUUAAACCAAAAUAUAGUAUAAUUAACGAAAUACUCCUAAUGAAA
Molecule: transfer RNA, 75 nt
Filed under: Argia sedula
Lineage: Eukaryota; Metazoa; Arthropoda; Insecta; Odonata; Coenagrionidae
Description: tRNA-Lys
Source: RNAcentral